AUACGGAGGGUGCAAGCGUUAUCCGGAUUCAUUGGGUUUAAAGGGUGCGCAGGCGGAAUGAUAAGUCAGUGGUGAAAUCCUACAGCUUAACUGUAGAACUGCCAUUGAUACUGUCAUUCUUGAGUACACUUGAAGUGGGCGGAAUGUAUCAUGUAGCGGUGAAAUGCAUAGAUAUGAUACAGAACUCCGAUAGCGAAGGCAGCUCACUAAAUUGUAACUGACGCUCAGGCACGGAAGCGUGGGGAGCAAACAGGAUUAGAUACCCGAGUAGUCC
This 274-nucleotide ribosomal RNA is filed under the name uncultured bacterium. Its description in RNAcentral is "partial 16S ribosomal RNA". It matches the Rfam family "Bacterial small subunit ribosomal RNA", at positions 523 to 796 of the family's 1533-position model. The record is from RNAcentral.